This 768-nucleotide non-coding RNA is filed under the name Drosophila sechellia. RNAcentral's name for it is "Eukaryotic large subunit ribosomal RNA". It matches the Rfam family "Eukaryotic large subunit ribosomal RNA", at positions 1710 to 2326 of the family's 3401-position model. The record is from Rfam by way of RNAcentral. Lineage: Eukaryota; Metazoa; Arthropoda; Insecta; Diptera; Drosophilidae.
UUCGUACUACCAUGGAAGUCUUUCGCAGAGAGAUAUGGUAGAUGUGGCUGAGAAGAGCAUGACAUAUACUGUUGUGUCGAUAUUUUCUCCUCGGACCUUGAAAAUUUAUGGUGGGGACACGCAAACUUCUCAACAGGCCGUACCAAUAUCCGCAGCUGGUCUCCAAGGUGAAGAGUCUCUAGUCGAUAGAAUAAUGUAGGUAAGGGAAGUCGGCAAAUUAGAUCCGUAACUUCGGGAUAAGGAUUGGCUCUGAAGAUUGAGAUAGUCGGGCUUGAUUGGGAAACAAUAACAUGGUUUAUGUGCUCGUUCUGGGUAAAUAGAGUUUCUAGCAUUUAUGUUAGUUACUUGUUCCCCGGAUAGUUUAGUUACGUAGCCAAUUGUGGAACUUUCUUGCUAAAAUUUUUAAGAAUACUAUUUGGGUUAAACCAAUUAGUUCUUAUCAAUUAUAACGAUUAUCAAUUAACAAUCAAUUCAGAACUGGCACGGACUUGGGGAAUCCGACUGUCUAAUUAAAACAAAGCAUUGUGAUGGCCCUAGCGGGUGUUGACACAAUGUGAUUUCUGCCCAGUGCUCUGAAUGUCAAAGUGAAGAAAUUCAAGUAAGCGCGGGUCAACGGCGGGAGUAACUAUGACUCUCUUAAUGCCGACAAAUGUUUUACCGUUGGCAUUAAGGGCCAGCCGAAACAGAAGUGUACCGUGCUAGAGGCACAGAGCUUUUACGUAGGCUCAAGGGAGAUUCCAUCAUUGAAGCGAACGGACGAGUGGAAGU